UGGGACAUCUGUAGCAUCAGUGGGCUGCAGUCUUUCUCUUGGGUGGUACUACAGUUCAGCUGCAUUCUUUCUCUUGGGUGGUACUACAGAACAGCUGGAGAGUAUUUAUCUUGGGUGGUACUACAGAACAGCUGCAGUCUUUCUCUUGGGUGGUACUACAGUUCAGCUGCAUUCUUUCUCUUGGGUGGUACUACAGAACAGCUGGAGAGUAUUUCUCUUGGGUGGUACUACAGAACAGCUGGAGAGUAUUUCUCUUGGGUGGUACUACAGAACAGCUGCAGUCUUUCUCUUGGGUGGUACUACAGUUCAGCUGCAUUCUUUCUCUUGGGUGGUACUACAGAACAGCUGGAGAGUAUUUCUCUUGGGUGGUACUACAGUUCAGCUGCAGAGUCUUUCUCUUGGGUGGUACCACAGUUCAGCUGCAUUCUUUCUCUUGGGUGGUACUACAGCACAGCUGGAGAGUAUUUCUCUUGGGUGGUACUACAGUUCAGCUGCAGAGUCUUUCUCUUGGGUGGUACCACAGAACAGCUGCAUUCUUUCUCUUGGGUGGUACUACAGAACAGCUGCAGUCUUUCUCUUGGGUGGUACUACAGAACAGCUGCAGUCUUUCUCUUGGGUGGUACUACAGUUCAGCUGCAGAGUCUUUCUCUUGGGUGGUACUACAGAACAGCUGCAGAGUAUUUCUCUUGGGUGGUACUACAGUUCAGCUGCAUUCUUUCUCUUGGGUGGUACUACAGAACAGCUGCAUUCUUUCUCUUGGGUGGUACUACAGAACAGCUGCAGUCUUUCUCUUGGGUGGUACUACAGAACAGCUGCAGAGUCCUUCUCUUGGGUGGUACUACAGAACAGCUGGAGAGUAUUUCUCUUGGGUGGUACUACAGAGCAGCUGCAGAGUCUUUCUCUUGGGUGGUACUACAGAACAGCUGCAGAGUCUUUCUCUUGGGUGGUACUACAGAGCAGCUGCAGAGUAUUUCUCUUGGGUGGUACUACAGAACAGCUGCAGAGUCUUUCUCUUGGGUGGUACUACAGAACAGCUGCAGAGUCUUUCUCUUGGGUGGUACUACAGAACAGCUGCAGAGUCUUUCUCUUGGGUGGUACUACAGAACAGCUGCAGAGUCUUUCUCUUGGGUGGUACUACAGAGCAGCUGCAGUCUUUCUCUUGGGUGGUACUACAGAACAGCUGCAGAGUCUUUCUCUUGGGUAGUACUACAGAGCAGCUGCAGAGUCUUUCUCUUGGGUGGUACUACAGAGCAGCUGCAGAGUCUUUCUCUUGGGUGGUACUACAGAGCAGCUGCAGAGUCUUUCUCUUGGGUGGUACUACAGAACAGCUGCAGAGUCUUUCUCUUGGGUGGUACUACAGAACAGCUGCAGAGUCUUUCUCUUGGGUGGUACUACAGAGCAGCUGCAGAGUCUUUCUCUUGGGUGGUACUACAGAACAGCUGCAGAGUCUUUCUCUUGGGUGGUACUACAGAACAGCUGCAGAGUCUUUCUCUUGGGUGGUACUACAGAACAGCUGCAGUCUUUCUCUUGGGUGGUACUACAGUUCAGCUGCAGAGUCUUUCUCUUGGGUGGUACUACAGUUCAGCUGCAGAGUCUCAUCUCUCCUCCUUUCGGACACCCCCAAUAGCGAUGAGUGUCCUCCAUUACAAUCUGGUCUCUACACCCUCCAGAUACAUUGUCAGAGCUAGAUAA
This is a long non-coding RNA of Oncorhynchus mykiss (rainbow trout), 1692 nucleotides long. The record is from Ensembl. Lineage: Eukaryota; Metazoa; Chordata; Actinopteri; Salmoniformes; Salmonidae.